CCCGGCGUGGGGAGGCCGGCAGGCAAAGCUUUGAGAGCCGACCGCGGACCUUUCUUCAGUCUCCCAGCGGCCGAGCGGUGAGCUAGGCUGCAGCGCAGAGAGAACGCCCCGACACCCGGGCGCGGACUGGGCGGGAGCAAAACGGCUGGACCUGGAUUUGAACGCGAAGGGGUGCUGGCGCUUCUGCCGGAGCGCCGCCCGCCCCCUGGCGCGGGAUCCAGCCGAGAGAGCCGCGUUCGGCCCGCCGUGGAACUGCGGGAGAGGCCUGGGCGCUGGGAGCCGGGGAGACUGGCGUGGGAGUCUGCAGUUUAGAGGGAUUUACUCUCUUCCUAUUUUCGGUCAGACUCGUGGCAGAGUUCUCCAAAUUUCCCCGCAGAGGAGCGGAAAGUUAGGGUACCCCCGCGCGGGAGGGCGAAGCAGCAGCCCUUUCCCGGGACUGGCCCAGCCCGCGCCUCGAGCCCCGGGGCGAGGACGGAACGCUGGGCGGAGUUGGGUGAAAGGCGAUUCCCAGGAGCGAGGGGAAGGGGCUUCAGGUUUCCUUGUUAGAAAGCGCGGAAAGCGAGGGGCUGCAGGAUGGUGGGGGGCCGGGUGGUGCGGUGCGGUGCGGUGCGGUAGGAAGCCUUCCCCGGGGAAAUCCACGUGCUCGCCCGAGAAUUGUGGCGGCCCCGGCAGGGUUACGCCUGGACCCCGGGAAGCCCUCCAACUCCGGCUGGUAGCUCGGGAAGAACCUUAAGAUGACCUGGCCUGAGAAACUCCCGCGACAAAGAAGGAGAAGAAGGCUCCGAGGGUGAACCCGGCCAAAUCGGGGCUGGCACUCGGCUCGCUGGCCCAGCACCAGGUUCCUUUCCCUUCAGCCCGGAGGAGAGAUCCCCAGUGAGUUGGCUGCGACUGAUGGGAAUUAUUCACUAAGCCAGGGGAACUUCCAGGAUCUGAAAAACGAGUGACAGAUUAUUGUAUCCCUGUAAGAUCUUCAAGUGUUUGAGGAGAAAGAAUGAAGAACCAUGGGCAGUAAGAACAAAACAUGGUACGCCCAUCUAGGAAAAACAUUAUAAAGGAUGAGACCUACCUGACCAAAACUCUGGUUCUGCCUUUUUUCCAAAAAUAGCUCUCUUCCUGCUAGUGAAGAAUGAUAUAUAGAAACCAAGAUAUGAUAUCAUAGAAGAGAAACACCAGAAGCCACAGCAUAAUAUAAAAAGGACACAAUUUGACCAGUGUUACAAAGCAAGAUUAACAGUUAUUAAGAAUGUAUACUAUAUAUAUUGUAUUUUGUUUAAUCAUCUAAACAAUGUAAUUGCUACACCUGUUAUUCCCAUUUCAUAGAAAAAUAAACUGACAUUACAUGCUUAGUUAAACUCAGUCUACUUCUUGUAUGUAAUACAUUGUGGAGAUUUGACUCAGACCCACAUGUUUGACCCUAGACCACAUACUCUUUUAAAUUCAUCACAUCAAACUUUGCUCUCCCCAAUUCAGCAAUAGUUUACUCAACUAAUUCUUUGUGUUUUCUUCUGAAAGAGAAGGAUAUUGGCUUGUUUUAACAAUCUACAGUGUUUUAACAAUCAGUAAAUGUGUUCACUGUACAUCAUAGUUUUUUUUUUUAGUGGUCUGUAUUCAUGCUUUCAAAUUAACUCUGACAGUGAUGCUUUAAACUUAAUUUCAAUUUUAUUAAUUAAAACGGAUCUGAAUACAUUGAAAAAUAUAAGUUGUGACAACAGGAUGGAAAUAUGUGGGUGAAAGCUACCCCAGGGUCAUUUUAAAUGACUUUAUCCAAAAGAGCUGCCUAAAAGGCAAUAGGAUCCCAACAGAGAGAGUCUGAGAGAUGGACUCCUGAGACCUGAAUCCCAGUCAGGUGCUGGUGAGAGAUGCCUAUCAGUGAAUGGGGAGAGGAGUGAAUGGUCCGAAGAACCCUCCAAGGAACCGAAACUCCCUUCAAUGAAAAUGAAAAGAGUCAGCUAUGACACUUGGAAAAGCAAAGAACAGUGAUGGCAGCUCUAAAAUACAAGCAUGCAGGAGAUUCCUGUGCCCUUACCUCUUCUCCCGUCACCAUCUGGAAUCCUGGAAUGGUCAGAAACGGUGCAAAUUAGGAAUUGAGGAGAGGACGAAAGACGAAUUGGGAAAACAGAGGAAUAUCUAUCCAAGCUGUACUUUAUACUACAAGCCUGCCUUCUGUUGCAUAGCUGAUUAGAUUGGCCAUAAUCACACAUAAAAUGCUCAACUCUACAGACUAUUUCCAUCAGAAGUGACCAAGUAACAAAAGUCCUAUAACAUAACUGAAGAGGGAGACACCAUUUUGCCUCCAUGAUUAGACAAGCAUGAAGGUAAAAGCUUCACUGUGAGGAUGAUGGAGCAAAAUCAUAGAAGGGGGCCUAGGUUCCCUUCCUUCAGACUUAUUAUGUGAGAAAAAUAAAAUACUGUUAUAAGGUUAAACAACAAAGAUAGGUUUCAACUUCAUGUACCUAAAUAUAUCACAAUUCACACAAUAUACAUAAAAGUGGUAAAAGUAUUCAUUAUAUAAGAAAUCCAUGAUGCCCAAUACAAUCAAAUAGAAAAAUUACAGUUCUUUAAUUCAUUAUGAUUUUGAAUUGAUCUUUUACAGUCUUUUAGUUAUCAAACUAUUAAAUACAUUUGCACACUCAAGUUUUGUUAAUAAUGCAGUUGAAUCCUAUUUCUCUGUGUGUAUAUGAUUGUGUGUGUACAAACAUAUGUGUGCACAUAUACUUCAGGAACCUAAAGGAAUGAUUAUUUCUUUUGUAGGGCACUCAAUUGUAGUUACCUCAACUCUUCCUUAAAUUUCUCCAUCCAAGUUCCACUUCCUAAGGGAAUAGAUCCUAAUAUAUUCCAAUAAAAAUAAUUUAAUUAUUACUUAUUUUGAUCUGGCCAUCAUUGGAGGUUUGCAGCAUGAGUGAGUGAGAAUUCUGACGCAUUUACUUUAUCUGUAUACCCACUUCAGAGUUUUUAUCAUAAAUGGAUGUUAAAUUUUGUCAAAUGCUUUUUCUGCAUCUACUAGCUGAUCAUAUGAUUUUAAUCGUUCAUUUUCUUAAUGUAGUAUAUCACAUUGAUUUGCAGUCAGAAACCCUGAAAGUAGUGGUUCCCUAUGUUCUUAUCUUAAGCCAGCUGUUCAGUUUUCCAGUCCUUCUAGAAGGUAGCAGAGUUGCUAUCAAGCAAUAGCUCUCUCCUCCAAGAUCUGAGACACAUGUUCAUCAGCCUCCACUUUAGUAAUCCAGAAAAGCAUGUUCCCUGCUACUCUAGAUCAUAGUGAAACUCAGGAAAGUCAUAAAUCUCAAUAGUCCAGGUAAAGUCCAGGUAUUCAAGGCAGCAUCUUGCAAAGAAUUCCUUUGCAGCUCCGGAGUCAGCUAGAGCAGACACCAUCACAACAGCAGUGUGUGGCCUAAUCCCUUAGUCCAGACAGUGUGUCUUUUCUCAUUAUUACUCCCUGCAUGGCCAAGAGCACCUCUUCCCAAGCCCCAUGGUCAGGAGAGCUCUGUAUGGCUGCUACCUCCUACUUUUCUUCUCCUUUCUAAGCCACUUGGCCAAAAGAGUGAAUGACUCCCAUAUUGUUUAAAUCCUGGCACCUCAUCAUAAUCACAUUUCUGAAUCCUCUCACACUGGGUUACACCUACCGGUUCCCACAGCCUUUCUCUCUGGCUGCCUUUGUUAGUCCAGGCAGGCAUGGAAUGGUGUCCAGAACGCAAGGUGUAUAGGAAUAUUGGAGAGACAUACAGGAUGUCCUCACCCCUUCCCCCACAGGUGUGAGUUGGGGGAAGGGACACAUGGAGCAGGAACAUGCAGGGCUGUUCUGUACAGCCACAGCCUUGCAGCUAAUCCAUGGCAUGGUCAUUUAACAUAUCUAUAGCCUUUGGUAGGUCACUUGGAUAUGUUAAAUGGCUGUGGCCAGCCUUGGAGCCAGGGGGGUGAAGUCACUUCCCCCCAAGAUGUAACUGAGGGGCAGGUCCCCCGAGCUGCAGUGCCUGUGUAGCAGCUUGAAGAAGAUUGGCUCUAGGACAUGGGGCAAUACCUGCCCAGACUAACCAUGGCAGUCCAGUAAACUUGUAAUGAUACAGAAACACUGGCAGGUGUAACUGAUUAUGGGAGGGGUCGGAAAUAGGGGUACAGAGGAAGAAUGGCACAGGGAUUUAAACCCAGUCAUGGCAGCCAUUGGAGAAAGCCAUGUGGUUUUGGGCAGAGUGAGGACCCCCUCUUGCCCAUGGAAAGAGAGAGCCACGCAGCUUUGCCAGAAUGGAGAUCCCUACAGCCAGGUGAAGAAGAAAGACGUGCACUUUUGAUGGAGCGUGGACCCCUGCAGCUUUGGUAGAAGAGGCCCAUGUGCCUUGGGGUGCUCCCUUUGGCCGCAUGGCCUGGAAAGCAGGAGAGACUUUGACUAGAAAAAUGGGUACAAAGAACUCUUGUCAGUGGACUGUGAGGUGCCGCAUGACUUUGGAUUAAUUGGAGAUCCUGCCUGGACGGUGACACAGCUGACAGUACCAGCGGCCUGGAAAAACAGACGUGUGCUCUUUUCCUGACUUAUGGUACCCCGAGUUAGGACAGAGGGAGAAGGGAGCGCUGUGUGCAUAGGUAGAUAUCCUAGGGGACUUUAAUAUUUUAAUGGGGACAUUGGCCACUGCUUUCAGUCUGUAUAGCUUUGUAUAAACCUUUCCUUUCCUUUUCAGAAAUCUCUGACAUUGAGAGAUGUCUUUCCUUUAGCAGCAGACAGAUGAGUCCAGUAGGUAUUAAUAUACCGUUGGGAGGGGCCCCUGUUUUCUGUAACAGUUUUUGGCAUCCCUGGGUGGGCCAAAUAUUGCCCCCCUUGGACCUCUGCUCUGUAACAAAUAUACAGAGAUCAUUAAGUUAGGAAGAAAAAAGUAACAUAACUAUUUCACGUCUUCGUUACUUAAGUCCUAAAGUUACAUUUCCUUGGUCAAAGUCAUUGUUAAUGCAGAUGUUUGAGAAUAAACAUGGUUACUUUAAACACCACAUAAGACAUCUCUGACAUAAUGUCUCCCUACUUCCUGUUAAUGUGGUAGAAGAUGAAAAUUUACUAAGUCAAAACAAUACUUGUAAAGAAGGCAAAUAAUAGUUCCUCAGAGUCUGUGAGAGAUUUUCAGUAACUACAUGGACAUUGGCUAGACUGAGAAACUACUGGAGGUCUUCACAUAUUUUGCCCCUGAAGACUGAGCAGUACCUAAAAGGAAGGUUGAAUGAGGCUAUAAUCCACACCCACUACCCAUCCCUAGGACAGAGAUGCAGGGAUUUUUCCAACCACGAAUUUGAACUGCCAUCCAUUUAAUGAAAAAUAAUUUACUUUUAGUGGUAACUAGGGACAUAUUCUCCAUAAAUACCUUCUAAGUACCUAUAACUCUCAAACAUUCAGAAAAUUAAGUUCCCAGUUAAGCAAUAUGAAUAAAAAUGGACUAAGGGUGAGGUUACCUAACAAGUUGGUAGGCAGAGAAGAAACCAAAAAGUUUCCUUAGCCAGAA
This is a long non-coding RNA of Artibeus jamaicensis (Jamaican fruit-eating bat), 5471 nucleotides long. RefSeq lists it as uncharacterized. The transcript has 7 exons. The record is from RefSeq and is a predicted model, not a curated record. NCBI's taxonomy places the organism in Eukaryota, Metazoa, Chordata, Mammalia, Chiroptera, Phyllostomidae.